This 497-nucleotide ribosomal RNA is filed under the name uncultured bacterium. RNAcentral's name for it is "partial 16S ribosomal RNA". It matches the Rfam family "Bacterial small subunit ribosomal RNA", at positions 28 to 507 of the family's 1533-position model. The record is from RNAcentral.
GACGAACGCUGGCGGCGUGCCUAAUACAUGCAAGUUGAGCGCUGAAGGUUGGUACUUGUACCGACUGGAUGAGCAGCGAACGGGUGAGUAACGCGUGGGGAAUCUGCCUUUGAGCGGGGGACAACAUUUGGAAACGAAUGCUAAUACCGCAUAAAAACUUUAAACACAAGUUUUAAGUUUGAAAGAUGCAAUUGCAUCACUCAAAGAUGAUCCCGCGUUGUAUUAGCUAGUUGGUGAGGUAAAGGCUCACCAAGGCGAUGAUACAUAGCCGACCUGAGAGGGAGGACGGGCACAUUGGGGCUGAGACACGGCACAAACGACUACGGGAGGCAGCAGGAGGGAGGGGUCGGAGAGGGAUGAAAGACUGAACGAGCAACGGCGCGGGAGUGAAGAAGGGUUUCGGAUCGUAAAACUCGGUUGGUAGAGAAGAACGUUGGGGAGGGUGGAAAGCUCAUCAAGUGACGGUAACUACCCAGAAAGGGACGGCUAACUACGUG